Drosophila ficusphila is the source of this 528-nucleotide long non-coding RNA. RefSeq lists it as uncharacterized. NCBI's taxonomy places the organism in Eukaryota, Metazoa, Arthropoda, Insecta, Diptera, Drosophilidae. The transcript is spliced from 2 exons. The record is from RefSeq and is a predicted model, not a curated record.
UUAAAUAUUCCUCACCGGCUGAGCACCUAUAAAUUGAUAUGAACCCGAAAUAAGCCGCCCUUGUUGGUCAAAAUUUAUUUUAUGCUAAUACAAAUUGUAAAAUAUCCCAAAGUCAGCUGAGCAGCAGAAAGCAUGUUUCACUUAUGAAAUGAAAGGCCGCUCAGUAAAUAACACAUCAUUUUUGAAGAUAGCCGUAAAGUGAAGAAAAUCCUUUGGCCGUCCCCUGGUCUUUCUCAGAAAAGGGAUAGUCCUGCGAAGGAUUUUAUGCCGUUGAAAAGGAUUGCCACGGAACGGUACGGAACCAAGGAUGCCCACAUCCUUAAGCAGCUUGGCAAGUGUGCCAGUGUAUGAAAUAUUCACACAUAAUGUUGCAAAAUUUAUACUCCUGUCAGCCUUUGUAAUGUCAGCCUCAGCUGCGGUUCGCAUAUUGAUAGUCAAUAUUGGAUAUUUAUUUGUUGUUGUUUGAAAAGAUGCCGAACACGGCAGAAUAUAUUUUAAUGCGUUUCAUUUUAGCGUGGAGUGAGGAAA